This 221-nucleotide unclassified non-coding RNA is filed under the name Hevea brasiliensis (rubber tree). The record is from RNAcentral. Lineage: Eukaryota; Viridiplantae; Streptophyta; Magnoliopsida; Malpighiales; Euphorbiaceae.
UAUUUGGCAAUAUUGUCCCAGUUUCAGUACUUUCACUAGUAAUACCUGUUCAGGCACCCUACAAAAUUCUCUUAGCAGUUGGCAAAGGAUCUGGUUCGUUUGAAGUAUGGACAUGUGCAUAUCUAGUUGCAAGUUUGAUAAAGCUUGUUCACAGGAUGCUCACGACUAUGUUGUUACUGGUUUAGCUUGGGCUUUUGAUGGGUGUUGUUUGUACAGCUGUG